Molecule: ribosomal RNA, 294 nt
Filed under: uncultured microorganism
Description: partial 16S ribosomal RNA
Rfam family: Bacterial small subunit ribosomal RNA
Source: RNAcentral
GUGCCAGCAGCCGCGGUAAUACGUAGGGUGCGAGCAUUGUCCGGGAAUUAUUGGGCGUAAAGAGCUCGUAGGCGGCCUGUCGCGUCGGAUGUGAAAGCCCCGGGGCUUAACCCCGGGUCUGCAUUCGAUACGGGCAGGCUAGAGUUCGGUAGGGGAGACUGGAAUUCCUGGUGUAGCGGUGAAAUGCGCAGAUAUCAGGAGGAACACCGGUGGCGAAGGCGGGUCUCUGGGCCGAUACUGACGCUGAGGAGCGAAAGCGUGGGGAGCGAACAGGAUUAGAUACCCUGGUAGUCC